ACAAUUGUUUCUUAUUUUCAUGAAUAAACAUAUUUUCAAGUACAUAUAAAUUUUGAAAAAUAUUUUAUUAGAAGAAUUGUGUAAAUAAAGUAUAGUUUAUUAUGCCUAAAUAGAGCAAAAUAUUUGUUAUUCAUAUUUUAAACCAUCUCAUAUCUUUUUCCGCUAUCUUCGUCUUUGAAUUGUCAGAAAUACCAAUUUUAAAUAGAAGUCUCAUUUUUUCUUCGUCUGCUCUAUCUAUAAGUAACCUAUUAAAACAUAGCAGAAGUAACACCUUAUUUCCUCGUUACCAGCAAUCACUCAUAUUUUAAUAAUUUAAUAAAUAUACAAUUGUUUCUUAUUUUCAUGAAUAAACAUAUUUUCAAGUACAUAUAAAUUUUGAAAAAUAUUUUAUUAGAAGAAUUGUGUAAAUAAAGUAUAGUUUAUUAUGCCUAAAUAGAGCAAAAUAUUUGUUAUUCAUAUUUUAAACCAUCUCAUAUCUUUUUCCGCUAUCUUCGUCUUUGAAUUGUCAGAAAUAUCAAUUUUAAAUAGAAGUCUCAUUUUUUCUUCGUCUGCUCUAUCUAUAAGUAACCUAUUAAAACAUAGCAGAAGUAACACCUUAUUUCCUCGUUACCAGCAAUCACUCAUUCCGUUACAAGUGAAGAAGCUUUCAUAUUUGAAUCACGCUAUAUUUCUGUUGGUAUUUUGUUUCUUUUUAGCUUUAGCCUAUCUCCCUGUUGAAUUUUCCUUUAAAAAGAGUCAGGAGUUAAUUGCAAGAUCAUCUAUUCAUUUCUGCCACGCCAAAUCACUAAUAAAAAAGGGAAGUCGCCAACAUAAUAGAAUAGUUAACAGGAAAUAUAUACAACAAAUUGACAUUUUAAUUAAUUCGUAUCACAAUGAUUUGUACUGCUCGAUCAAAUGAGAGGCAUGGAGUCGUGAAGUUGGGGCAACUGUACAUCCCAAACUCUGGAGAUAUGCUAUCUGCCAUUCAAGAGAAACAGCCAUAUAGCUACAAUUAAUAGGAGGGGGGAUAAGAUUUCUACCACUUUCAUUCACAAGUUCCACUUCUGAUAUUAUAUGAAUUACUUAAAUCAGUAACCAUUUAUCUUUAACAGUUAACAAAUAGAUAUCUUUUUCUUUAUUAUAUUUACUUAAAUAAAUCAAAGUUUAGAUAAUGUUCAUUUAGUGUUUUAUGCCGGCAGAAAAUGUCAAAUGCUAUGUUCGGAAGUUUGAAACCAUGACACUGAACGGAAAUGUGUUCUAACCAGCAAAAAGAUUUGUAAUUAUCAACAUUCGGAACUAAAUCUCAUAUUGACAUUAUUAGAACGUACUCUGUUCACCAAACAAAGUACAAUAUACUUGUCAAACCAGAGUUCAUGUUGUACUCUACAUUUGUAGUCUACUCUACAUUUGUCAUGUUGUAUACUGUAUAACAUAGCAAUGAAAAGUUGGUUGCAAGUGGGUGGCAAUUGAUAAUAGAUGAGCAAGAACAAAAAGAGUAACAGAAGAGGCUUUAAUUGGGGAGUGCAGUAUUUAUGCAGGUUUAGAUUUACUUCAUCCAGCAAAAUAUGCAUCUCAGAAGGGGAGCUAGGUUACUUCACAAAGAUCCUUCUAGGUUUCUACUUAAGAAGAAAUAUCAAUGAUCAACCCUUUAGAAGAAUCUUAGUACCUGUUUAGCUGUUGGUGCCGAUGAACUCAUUGAAUUCUCGAUUCUUAGUUUCUGGAAAUGCUCCUGGAAGAGAAAAACACAAUCCCAUGGUUACCAACAAUUACAAGAAUAAUAAGUUUUCACAUGCAUCCAUUUUUUACAAAGUUGAGGGUUAUUAGUGUAAUAUUUAUGCAAUUUUCAUGUAAACGAAAUUAAUUCUACAGGUGAAAUUUAACAUGAAUUUUGUGUUAAUGUAAAAAAUUAUAUGGAUAGCAAGCUUAUGGGGAAGAAGUUGCCAGCAUUAUAUGAAGACUUCGAAUGUUAUCAUGAA
Carica papaya (papaya) is the source of this 1955-nucleotide non-coding RNA. NCBI's taxonomy places the organism in Eukaryota, Viridiplantae, Streptophyta, Magnoliopsida, Brassicales, Caricaceae. The record is from RefSeq and is a predicted model, not a curated record.